This 465-nucleotide ribosomal RNA is filed under the name uncultured bacterium. Its description in RNAcentral is "partial 16S ribosomal RNA". It matches the Rfam family "Bacterial small subunit ribosomal RNA", at positions 338 to 795 of the family's 1533-position model. The record is from RNAcentral.
CCUACGGGGCGCUGCAGUGGGGAAUAUUGCGCAAUGGGCGAAAGCCUGACGCAGCGACGCCGCGUGAGGGAUGAAGGUCUUCGGAUCGUAAACCUCUGUCAGCAGGGAAGAACGGUCACUGUGCUAAUCAGCAGUGAAUUGACGGUACCUGCAAAGGAAGCACCGGCUAACUCCGUGCCAGCAGCCGCGGUAAUACGGAGGGUGCGAGCGUUAAUCGGAAUUACUGGGCGUAAAGCGCUCGUAGGCGGUAUGUCAAGUCAAGGGUGAAAUCCCCGCGCUCAACGUGGGAACUGCCUUUGAAACUGGCAAACUGGAGUGUGUGAGAGGAUAGUGGAAUUCCAGGUGUAGGAGUGAAAGCCGUAGAUAUCUGGAGGAACAUCAGUGGAGAAGGCGACUAUCUGGCACAUAACUGACGCUGAGGAGCGAAAGCGUGGGUAGCAAACAGGAUUAGAUACCCCAGUAGUC